UGCUUCACUGCGCUUCACGCUGCUCCGUCAGAGCUGGAGAAAUACUGUGCUAAUCCGCUCCACAUUCUGCCCGUAAAUGAGACACCACCACUGACUGACUGACUCAGUUCAGCUCUUUUAAGAGGAGUCUUCAGUGUCAGCGCUUUGUCACAGUCAAAGGAUUGGUCAGCUAUCCCCUCUGAUCCGGUGGAGUCCUCUGACCCCACUUUGUGGACCACCCCUCCAUCAGAGGCCUCCUGUAACCCCCCACCACCACCCUGUCUGCGGAGUGGGUAUCGGCGUCCUCUCCAGGGGGCGCCAGCGAGGAGCUGAGUGAAGCUUUGGACAAGCCUUUGGAGAACG
Long non-coding RNA from Neoarius graeffei (lesser salmon catfish), 342 nucleotides. RefSeq lists it as uncharacterized. NCBI's taxonomy places the organism in Eukaryota, Metazoa, Chordata, Actinopteri, Siluriformes, Ariidae. The transcript has 3 exons. The record is from RefSeq and is a predicted model, not a curated record.